GGCCUGUUGGAGAAGCGGUUUAACUCAUAAGCCUCUCAAGCUUACAUUCACGGGUUCGAACCCCGUACAGGUCACCA
This 77-nucleotide transfer RNA is filed under the name Acholeplasmataceae bacterium. Its description in RNAcentral is "tRNA-Glu". It matches the Rfam family "tRNA". From Rfam's summary of the family: Transfer RNA (tRNA) molecules are approximately 80 nucleotides in length. Their secondary structure includes four short double-helical elements and three loops (D, anti-codon, and T loops). RNAcentral also lists the same sequence under 1 other name. Lineage: Bacteria; Bacillati; Mycoplasmatota; Mollicutes; Acholeplasmatales; Acholeplasmataceae. The record is from RNAcentral.